RNAcentral lists this ribosomal RNA (317 nucleotides) under uncultured bacterium. Its description in RNAcentral is "bacterial SSU rRNA". It matches the Rfam family "Bacterial small subunit ribosomal RNA", at positions 28 to 337 of the family's 1533-position model. The record is from RNAcentral.
GACGAACGCUGGCGGCGUGCCUAACACAUGCAAGUCGAGCGGAGGUACUGGAGGAGUAAUCUGAGAGUACCUGAGCGGCGGACGGGUGAGUAACGCGUGAGCAACCUGCCUUUCACAGGGGGAUAACGCAGCGAAAGCUGCACUAAUACCGCAUGAGACCACGGUGGAGAUACCGCAGGGGUCAAAGGAGCAAUCCGGUGAGAGAUGGGCUCGCGUCCGAUUAGGUAGUUGGUGAGGUAAGGCCCACCAAGCCAAUGAUCGGUAGCCGGCCUGAGAGGGUGAACGGCCGACAUUGGAACUGAGAGACGGUCCAAACU